UGAAAUAUUAAGAAGGAAAAAGGGAGGAGAAAACAUCAUCAUCUUCUUCAUCCAAGCUUCAACUACCAUAGCCAAUUCCUUAACUAAAGUCUUCAAACAUUCGGGUUUCAAAGUGGAAUUUGGGGGAAAUCAUCCAAAGUUAUUCCUAAGGGUUUGUAACCACUUUGAGUUGCAGAUUAGUGUGGACUCCAGUAGCCGAUGAGUUCUGAACAGGAUGGAAGUGGAUGUCGAUGUUGUAAGUUUAGCCUGUGCACUUAGAGUGAAGUUUGUCAAAGAGGUGAUAGAAUUCACUCUAGGUGUGGCGGUAGCACCCAGUUUUCUGCUGAUAAGAUGAGUGGAUGAUCAUCAAGAAGGUGGGGCUUUGUGAGCUUGCUUGAGGCUUGUUGGAGUAGGAAAAAGCUCUUGAGGUAUGGAGUAGUCUGAGCGCGAGCGCGUUAGAUGCUUAUCUAUGAGGACGCUUAGACUAGUUUGAUGAUGUUUAGACUUUGGUUGUUGGGCCUGUGUGCCUUUGAGAUAUUAUUAUACUCUUGAUUAGUGGUUUGGGUACUUUUUAUGAUUGCGGAUUAUGACUUGAGGAUUUUAUUUCGGUUUAUAUAUAUGGCAGCUUAGUUCGUCUUUA
Long non-coding RNA from Ipomoea triloba (trilobed morning glory), 619 nucleotides. RefSeq lists it as uncharacterized. The record is from RefSeq and is a predicted model, not a curated record. The transcript has 6 exons. Lineage: Eukaryota; Viridiplantae; Streptophyta; Magnoliopsida; Solanales; Convolvulaceae.